GGUUUGGGUGCGCUCUGUAUUACCAGCAGCAUGUCCAGCAGACUGCUUAGCAAAGUUUAGACAAAGAAGAAACAGCUUCAUGGUAGACACAGAGAUUAGUGGCGGUACCGAGCAAAUGGAGGCAGCCCGAAAAAAGGCGCGGGUCGCAACAUCAGUUUUCUGGAGAUUCUUCAGAUUUAGAAAAUCUGUCAAAGAUCAAAAAACAAAACUAUUCAAAGAGUGUGGUGUAGCUGUCGUUACAGAAGGAGGAAACACCAGGAACCUCCUCCACCACCUAAAGAUGAAACACGCCAAGCUCUAUUAUGAGCGCCAAAUGACGCGACGCACCUGCGCCGAAAACUAAAACUGCAGCAGCUCCUCUCAUAUAAAAGAGCUCGGCAGAGUCUUUCGCCAAAGGUACGCCAUAUGAUAGAAACAAAUCCAAGGUUAAAAAUAAAAGUAAAAUGAACAAAUUUGACAGUUUGAUUAUUUUCAAGACAUUAAUUGAAUUUAAAGUGGGUAAAACACACCGUGAUAUAAACUGUUACUGUGAUAUGAAAUUACUCAUGAUAUAAGAUUUUACUCAUACCGCCCAACACUACCUGAGAUCAAACAACACUGAGCCCAACUUCAGCAGAGCUCUCGUGAUCUUUAUUCACACUUGAUGACCUCAAAGUCUCCGCAGAGGUCAUGUGGUGUCAGGACUUUUGCUCAUGUGGUUUAAUUGGAUCAUAUUUCAUGGAGACACGGUUGGAGAUAAGUUUGCAAAAGGAGCCUCUGCUGGUCUGUUUGUGAAGACUCGCUCAGUGAGCCUCUCAGCCUGCAGGCCUGUUAGUUUACUCUUCGCACACUGGAAGGUCUCAGUCCCGAAGAGAGUCUGUGUUUGCACCUCCAAUUUGUACAAGAGCUUUCUGCCAAGGGGGUUGGGGGUUAUGAGGCUUAAGCGGGGUGGAACCAAACAGGGAAUCGUAGCAGAGUUUUGGCUAACGCUGAAGUUACAGCCUCUAGCAGCGAAGGUUAGAGGCAGGUCAAGCGCUAGCAGGCACUCUUCUCCAGAAGCGUGAGCUGGAGUUUGGGGUGCAGAGUCUAAACAAGAAGGAAAACCGACUCAUGCCUGUUUUCCUCUUUGUGAAAUGAUUACGAGCUGAUUUGGGAGGUCGAAUGGAUUUGUGACAUAUUUCUACAUCUGCACAGCAAAAAUUAAAACUACGUAGAUGUUUUAUCUUCUCUUCAGGUAGAAAAAAAAGUCAAAUAAGACUUAAUCUAAACCACCAGGACCGGACAAACCCAGAUAAAGGUCUUGUUUCAUAAAAAAUAAUAUAUUCUAUUUCUGUAUGUUUAUUUUUAUUUACUUGAUGUUGGAGGUUGGCAUGAGAGAGGUUUGGGGGGUUUUAUUGAAUGAUUUGGACCUGGUUCGUCAUAAUUGAGCUGAAGGGAGUUGGUUCAUUUCCCAUGUUUUGUGUCUGAUAGGCAGUGUUUUAUUGGUUAAGACACUUUUGUGGACUCGUCAGAUUGGUGCAUCUGAGAUGACGUCUAACAGCACUUUCCCAUUAAAGCCUUAAUGCGUACCUGUUAAACUGUCAGCUGAGUUUAUUUGAUGUCAGGAGAACAAAAUGAAAGGACACUUACGGACAGUCAAUAUGAUUAUUAUGAGUUUUUCCUCACUUUCAAAACCAGGAAAUAGAAUCAUAAAAACCUCCAAAACAGCAGCUAUAGCACCGCUCUGUUGUUGCUGUUAUUUUGCAGGCAGAGCAGACUGUCAAACUCUUAAUGUAUCUGCACAUUUGCAUUGUUAUUGUGACAACGACAGCAAAAUAUACUGUUGGAACACGCAAACCCAAUCUGGUCACUUGUAAAACACAAUGUGGAUAGUCAUCCAUAAAUAUCACAUUCCACAAAACAAAUUGCAUUUGCUCGCAGUCUGAGAAUCUCGCUCUCUCUGUCUCUCUCUUUUGCAAAGCGACAACAAGUCCUCCUGUUCUAUUCAAAAUAAGGAGGAAAUGAAGCCAGCACUGUAAAGCCAGGCUCCAGCUGGCCCCUCAGACUGUAAAUGUUUUCACACAACGCCGACCCAACCAGCGGUGUGAGGCCGGGGAGUGACAUGCAUUCUCACACGGUCUCACCGCGUCACAGUGCAAUCAAUGAAACGUGGUGGUCAGGUAAGCAGGUCCUUAACCUUCACACCCGCGGAUGAUGAAUGGUGUCGCGGGGGAAGGCUUUGAGUCAGCAGGCCAUCACAUGGGCAGGUGGAAAAUGGUGCAAAAAUACCUCCUGCUGCAUGUCAGACAAGAUUAAUCCGGUUGAGUUUAUGGACAGGUAGAAUUCACAAUUCCUUAAACGCGGACAUUAGAGUAAUUGCAGAUGUCCUCAUGCAUCCUUUUGAAAUUCAAAGUGGCUCCAUUUGACAACCAAAGUGACUUUCCUUUGUCUUUGCAUGUAAAUAGAAAAAAGAAGUCGAGUAUUAAAUAACGCCGCCAUCUGUUAAUGUCAAAUCCAACUGCCAUGGAUCCAAUUUCUCAGGUGCGUAACAGUCGAAAUCUGACAUACCUGUGAUAUUACAUAUGGGGAUCAAGCGCUAUCAUUCACGCAGCGUACAUAUGGUAAAUUGCCUCUCGGCGCUUGAUUGCAAAGUCGUCCUUGGAUUUAUCUGAGCUUAUGUCUCGAACGCCAACAUCCUCUCACCUGCGUUAACUCAUUAGGUGUUUAUACACCCGAGUGUCAUAGACGACCCUGCAGGAAACAGUUAUGAGGCUGUAGGAUAUGUGACAUCUGGAGACUGCUGUGUGAGUUUAAUCACUUAAGAAACUUCUCAUUUUACAACAUUACUUUAGGGAAUUGUAAAACCAAGAUGAGAAUUUCCUCAUUGACGAAAAUAGCGGCACCAUAAGUCAUAUAACCCAUAUGGUUGUACGCCAAUGUGGGCCUGUUCGUGAGUUUAUGUGACAAAGUAGAAAAGCUGUUAUUGACGACUUUUAGUAGCAACAAAAAAGGUCCCACUGAGCUAAAGUCUCUAAAUCUUGACAAAAAAAGACAGCUGAAUAUUAUCUGCCAGCUAAAACAUCGAGAAUCGACUUUGAAAUAAAAGUUUAAAGGUAACAAAUAAAGAGCAAAUGUGCACUGUCAGAUUUGUGUGAUGCUAAAAGGAAAGACCUCGAGGAACAUCUCACAACUAAGGCCAGGUCCCUCAGCCGUAAAGAUGGGAGGAGGAUCAGUUUAUCAUUGUGAAGUGACAUUUUCUGCAGACGCAUGUGAACAAAAUAAUGGAAAUACUGAUAAUUAUUAACUGGAUGACCAUGAUCUCCUCCUGGCGCUGGACUAAUGCUGCGAUCCAGUUACCUCGGAAGUUGGAUGUCGGAGCUGGGAAUGACAUCACACCUGAGUUGACGGCGUUCCAGUAAACAAGUCGGAAAACCAAGAUGGACGUCUACUUUUACGUGUUGUUAGCAGUUGUUAGCUAUACCUGUCGUAAACAAUGCAUAACACAGUAUUUUACUCCAACAAACACCAUAGCACCGUGUUCAGAGUUAGACGUUGGGCAGUACGACAAAAAACACUUAGUUAAUUUCACUAAAACAAAACAGAAGUGCUAAUAAGUAAAACAUUACAAGAGCUUUCACUGUUACUCUGUACUGUUGAUGCACUGUGCUGCCAUCUUGGAUUAUGACUUGGGGUGCACCGAUCACAAUUUUCUAGCCGAUCACUGAUCUUGGCACACGACCUGGUGGGCUGGCCUGUUAUUCUGGCAAAGCCAAAAGCUAAAACAGCUGACUUUCAGACCUUUGCUGAGGUAAAUAAGAUUGGUGGAAAAAAUUGGUUUCAUAUGUAAGGAUCAGCUGAUCACCCCCGAAUUUGAGGAAAUCGGUGCAGAUCGAUCGUCCGGCCAAUUCACAAAUCCAGGUCAAAAUCAUAUCAACAUGAGAUUAGUGGUGUCCCGAUACGUUAGUGAUAUUGGUCCGAUAUCAACAAAAAACAAAUAUCCUGUACCUAAACUCAUCGAUAUCAGCUCUCCGAUACAAGCAGUCCAUUCCAGACCCCACUCUGGCACCUCUAUCCAGCAGUACCCGGAUCCAGUAUGUAGAGCCCAUGUGAUCACAACAACAGUGUGUACUAAGGUACCAACAAAGUAGCAAAGAGCAGGAGUGAUGUCGGUAAAAUCGGAUUAAUAUCGGUAUUGGACGAUACUGAAGGCGACAAUAUCGGUAUAGUAUUGGAGGUAAAAAAAGUUUUAUCGGGACACCCCUACUGGAAGUCAUGCACAUCACAUCCUUCACGUCUGGAAGGCUCCAUUCAUGCUAAACAAUCUACAGGUUUGGAGAAACAUAUGCUGCUAAUAAGAGAGCGCCCUCUACUGGGGAAACCCUCAUAACCACAUGUAUGACAACAUCAUGGCUCUGAAGUAGAAGAGUCCCCGUGCCAAACUGGCCUGACUGCGGUCCAGACUCACCCACUGAAACAUUAAACCUGCAGAAAAGGAGACUCUGACUUUCAUUUUCCCUGAUCCAUCCCACUGAUGUGGAUUUCACACUCGGCUCGAUGUCGUAUUUACCAAUAAUUGCAGAAGCUUCAUCCUCAAAAACAAACGCCAUGGCACUUUUAUUUUAAUUUCAUACAUUUGAUUUGAAACAAACAGUGUCCAAAAACGUCCCCCUGUUUCCAUUAACCAGCUCGACUACGGAACUAAAGGCGAUUCGCGCGACACUCCAAAUUAAAUUACAGCAAACCAGGACCGCUGCGAGCUUAUUUUCCUUUUCUCCACAAACUUAAAAUGGUGUUCACCAUCUGGUCCCCGAGGCUACUUUGAGACGACACUUCAGAAAUACUCACAUGUGUGAAAUUUGACUAAAUAAAGUCUCUGUAAUCACUCAUGUAAUUCCUGAGCCUGUCAUAGUAUGCUCGCUAAUGUCUCUCUAAACCUACAAGAGCUGGAGUUUUUAGGGCUUAAGCGUGCGCUGACAUGUUGGCGGGUAUUUAUUCAUGCACUUUUUUUUCUGCUGGUACUUUUUGCACCAUUUGUUCAGUGGGAGGACUCUCCAUAGAGACACUCGAGGCUUUAUCUAUGCAUUAAGUGCUUAAAAACAGCAGGGCUUAUUAAAGAAUUAUAACUCCUACAGCAGAUUCUGAUGUGUUUGUAUGAAAAGGCAGCUCUGAAUGUGUGGGCAGGGUUACUUUAAAUCAGGUCUGACACAGGCACACGGCUCCAAGAGCUCAAUUUUACUCCUGGAUCUAAAAUUGCUCUGAUAGCUUUCUGAUAGCGAGCAAUCUCACAGUAUCUCAAGAAACAAGAACUGCUGCAUCGAUUUCUCCCAAAAUAAGCCCAGAAAAAGGAGUUUACAUUUCAACAGCGCAACAUUGGGAGCUUUUGAGAGGCAUUUAAUUACCUUUAAUACCUCUCCAACUGAUAACAAAGCUUACUGGAAAGCUACACCUCGCAGGUGUAGUGUUAUGACUAUUUAUACAGUCAGUUCCUGCCCUCGACAAGCACAGGAACCUAACACCGCUGCUACUUUUAACGCCUCGCCUUUGUUUGCCAAUUCAUGAAAUCAAUGUUCCCUCUUUAAUAAUUAAAAGCUCUGCUCCUUGCAGGGGUAAUAUGUGUGGAUUUGUUUGCGUAAAUAGCCACAUCACAUGCAACAUAAUACUCCACAACACCCCAGCUGUGUGCAAAUGAGAGUGUGCAAGACGCUCUAAAUGCUUGUGCAUCUUCGCAGACAAACGCACACACUCACACAUGCAGCAAAGUCAUUAUCACAUAUGACACAUUACCAUACCAGUGUGGGUUUUUAUCAUGUAUGACAAACAGCUGGGUAACAUGUUUUCUUUCUCUCUGGUUUGAGCUCAGAAGCGUCUCAGUUGUUUCCAGACAAACAUCACGUACGUUUUAGAGCAAAGUUUUUCAACCUUUUUUUAAACGGCACAUUUUUUACAAAAUCCUGGGGCACACCACCAACCAAAAUGAAACUCUGUAGCCUAACACAGUAUAUGUUAUAGAAUGCAGGGAUGCACUGAAAUGAAAAUUCUUGGCUAAAACUGAAAAUGAGGAAACCACGGCCGAAACCUGAAAGAAAUGAUUACGCCAAUUAUUAGUACCGUUACAUUUAUGGUUAUAACUGUCUACCAAUCUCACUAAACUCAAAGC
Molecule: non-coding RNA, 6115 nt
Organism: Xyrichtys novacula (pearly razorfish)
Lineage: Eukaryota; Metazoa; Chordata; Actinopteri; Labriformes; Labridae
Source: the annotation of a GenBank genome assembly